AGUAACUGGGUUGAGAUGGGGAACAGACAGCCUUACAGCACUCUGAUCAGACCUGACCUGCAACUGGUGAACCUGGCAGGACCCAGCACUCCGACCUGUAGGAACUGUAUAGGAGGUAACUGUACUGAUAACAUCCUACCAGAGGUCUUACAGCAGGGCCUGCUCACCUCUGGAUACUUCAACCUGUUCUCCUCCAACAAACCUGCAGGUAAGUGUAGCCACGGCGGGUUUUUUGACCGGACCA
Coregonus clupeaformis (lake whitefish) is the source of this 244-nucleotide long non-coding RNA. RefSeq lists it as uncharacterized. The record is from RefSeq and is a predicted model, not a curated record. The transcript is spliced from 3 exons. NCBI's taxonomy places the organism in Eukaryota, Metazoa, Chordata, Actinopteri, Salmoniformes, Salmonidae.